CCUGACUCGCUGACUGAUGCUCGUCUGCACUGCACAGAGGAAAUCAGCUGACCGAGGAGUGUUUCUGAGUGAGGGGGGAGGAGUCAUCAUCCAGGUAAAGUGACGUGGAUCAGUGGAUACACUUGUCUCCCCUUUAAAGGAGACGAUCCAAGUCAUCCUUAAAUAUGGGCAGCAUAUCAGUCUUGGACUGUCUAACCUGCAGCACUGAAUGACCACCACACAUGAGCAUGUUCCUGCAACAUUCAGCAUCUGAUCCUUCAUCUGUGUGCUGCUGCUUUUGGUAAGUAGAGUUACCCAACUCCAGUAACUCUAAACACAUGCCAU
Molecule: long non-coding RNA, 324 nt
Organism: Haplochromis burtoni (Burton's mouthbrooder)
Lineage: Eukaryota; Metazoa; Chordata; Actinopteri; Cichliformes; Cichlidae
Exons: 3
Source: RefSeq, a predicted model, not a curated record